Long non-coding RNA from Vicia villosa (hairy vetch), 2296 nucleotides. RefSeq lists it as uncharacterized. The record is from RefSeq and is a predicted model, not a curated record. NCBI's taxonomy places the organism in Eukaryota, Viridiplantae, Streptophyta, Magnoliopsida, Fabales, Fabaceae. The transcript is spliced from 4 exons.
UUCAGAUUUCAAUCGCUAGAAUCAUUCAAACCCUAAACCACAUUUCAAUCGCUAGAAUCAUUCAAUCGCUAGAAUCAUUCAAACCCUAAACCACAUUUCAAUCGCUAGAAUCAUUCAAACCCUAAACUACAUUUCAAUCGCUGGAAUCGCUUAAAUCUCAAAAUCGCUUUGAAUCGCUUCAGCAUAAAAGUUCAAUCGUUUGAAUCAUUCAAACCCUAAACCUCAUUUCAAUCGCUGGAAUAGCUCAAAUAUCAAAAUUGGUUUGAAUCGCUUCAGCAUAAAAGUUCAAUCGUUUGAAUCAUUCAAACCCUAAAUCUCAUUUCAAUAUCAAUUGUUUCAAUAGCACAAACCUAAAACCUCGUUCAACAUCAAUAGUUUGGAAAAUAUCUGUUUCUAAUUUCAGGUAUAUCAAUGUGAUUUUUUAAAAAAUUUCCAUUUUCUAAUUUUUUUUAUUUAUUGGAAUAUUUAUUUUUGUUUGUAGAUCUGAAUUCACUGCAUGAUACAUCUCAUCAUAUGUACAUAUCAAAUUUGAAUUUGUUAAUAGGUGCAUUAGGUAAGAAUGAUGUUUCUUAAGAAUCCUAAUUUUCACAUAACAAAUUGUACGAAUUUUCCUGCAUAUAAGGCCAAAUUUUGGGUGAGCAAAACCAUUUUACUUUGUUUAAGAUAUGUUUCUCUAAAUGACAGAGGUUAAUUUAUUGAGUACUGAUGGAGAUGGUUUUGUUAUUUGUGUAUGCAUUUUCAGGUUGCGUUAAUACAACUUCUCGAAAAGUUAUUUUAUCAUGGGGAUUUAUGUGAGGAGUUCACAUCAGCAAGAUUGGAUGUGGAUUUGUAUGCAUGAUAUCUAUUAUGUAGUUUACUUUGUUUAAUUAAUAUAUGUUUUGCAUUCUCAAUGCCUAUGCGUGGUGUAAAUUAGCUUUGUUAUUUAUUUGCACAGUCACUUGCCAACACUAGUAAAUGGUAAUGCCUGCAUGCUAGCUUUGGCUUAUCAAUAGAUGCAAGAAUCACAUUAUCCUUCACUUCAAAAUGCAGCAAUUGUUCUUCUCCAUAUUGCAGACAAGUAUUUCAUUUCAUUGUAAAUUCGUAAUGAUUAAUUUCUUUGUAUGAGAUUUGUCACAUACCUUGACAAUACAUUUCUUGGUUAUGCCAGUGUCUUAAUCAAUGGUUCCAGCUUGAUGCUAAAUUUAACAUGUGGGUUCUCACUUCUCAGGGCUGCUAAUAGAGAUAAACGUAAGACGCCACUACCUAAAAUCAGAGGCGACCCCUAAUGAUCUUCUAAUGGAUUUUAUGGAUAAGCUCCUUUUUUAGCCAGAGUAUGUUGGUAACCCGAAAGAAAAUAUUCCCCCUAAAUCGUCCCUCUGUAUUCCUUGGUCAUGGUUUCCUGGUGCUCUAUGCCUUCUUCAAGAGAUUGGAGAAUCAAAGUUGGUGAGUGGCAGUGCUGGAAUUAUUUGUGAUCUGGUUGAGAAAGGAGGUUCUUUAUUGGUUAUUCGACCUCCCGGUGUUUGGUAAAACUACCUUAAUCAAGUCAACAUAUUAAUUUUUUUUGUUCAUGUCUCUAUUCGUAAAUGGAACUCAUAGAGUUGGCUUUAAACUUGUUCGAAAUGAGUUCGCGAGAAUCAAUGGCAAAAGCAGUCGAAGAAAAGAUAAAUGGUUAGCAACACUGUUUUUAUGAUUUGAGUAAAGUGUUGGAUAUUGGUCAAUCUAACGGUUAAACUGUCUAGCAAUUAUUAAAUUAGUCUAACAACUAACAUUUGACCAGGGAAUUUAUAUGGCCCUAUAGAAAGAGUAAAAGGUUGAAAUGGAUUCAGGGUUCCAUUACAAUUGUGAUUGCCCCUGGUACUAAACUAAUAGCAUUGUGUUACCUUCCAGUGGAUAGAAGAUCAUCCUUGCAGAAGUUCAAUAGUUUUAGAACAUGAUGAUACCAAGUUUCGGUGAUGAUGAUUGAUGAUUAUUUGAUGUUGAACCGCGAAGAACCUUUGGAGAGUUUUCUUGGAGAAUGAAUCGAAAGUGAAGCGCAUAGAGAUGCCUUUUUUUUGCAGAAAUUAUGAAGUAUGGCAUAUUGAAGAUCGAUGCGUGAAGUUGAAGAUUGAAGGUGGAAUUCAGUGGUGUUUAUGGAGAAUGAAGGAAGUGGUUGAUUCUUCUGCAAAUUUUUUGUGGUAUGAAGAAUGAAGAGUUAAUUCUUGUUUAAUUAAUAGUAAGUAACAUUUGAUUUAUUAAAUAUGCUUGCAAAAUAAGCUCAUUUUAAUUAUUACAUGAUUUUAAAUUUAAUGAUUUUUAUUUCUACACUAUUUAGAUAUAA